GUCCUGAGGGGUCACUUGGUCCGUGGCCAAAGUUCUGGACAGUGUCAGGGCUGGUCCAGCCUGCAGAGGGGCGUGUCCUGCAGUGAGAAGAACAUGAACUCACAGCCUGGCAGUCCCCUGCAGUGAGAGCUCAGCAGACAUCCACAGAGGCAAGUCCAGCAUCUGAAAGAAAGAAGAAGAAAAAAGGGACUUUUGCAAUCAAUCUCCAAAGCUGACAAGCCCAGAAGCUCUGUGGCUGCUCUGGAACAAAAGGAUCCUCCCAGGGAUGAGGCACCUUCCCAGCAACCACUCCCAACACGGCACAGAGGCACCUCUGGAGCUCCUGUGUGGGGCUGGCAGGGGCUGCCAGGGGGGCACAGCCCCAGGUGGGGUGGCAGUGGCAGUGACAGCAGCAAAUUCCCCCAGUCUGGCACAACAGAGAGACCAAGGCCAGCAGUGCCCAGGGGAGGUGCAGGUUUAAUUCUGCUCCCUGUGCUGCCACAUCCCAGCAGGAAAUCUCCAGGGGGGACAGAAACUCCCAGGAUGCACAAAAUGCAGCAUCUGUCACCCUGAUCCUGCUUAAACUCAGUGUGUGGGGCCAAACCCCCCAGAUAAACACUGCCCUGGCCUGGAUCAGUCUCAGACCUGCCCCAGUUCUCAGCUCCAGCUGCUCCCAGGGCUGCCACCACAUUCCUGACAAGGGCCAAAGGCCCCUUUGGACAGGGCUCUCUCUGUGUCCCAGGCUUUGGGGAUGCAGGGACCAGGGCAAGGACAGCCUGAAACUAGGGCAGGUCCCUGUGGCUUUGGGACACUCUGGGGACUCACCUCACAC
Molecule: long non-coding RNA, 811 nt
Organism: Ficedula albicollis (Collared flycatcher)
Lineage: Eukaryota; Metazoa; Chordata; Aves; Passeriformes; Muscicapidae
Exons: 3
Source: RefSeq, a predicted model, not a curated record